UUGGAUGAUGAAACUUGAUGAGCUCCAAUUUGGCUUGGAUUACAGUAUUUCAGAAGACUUUCUGAACUUGCCAGGCAACCCUCCCCCUAGACUUUGGGGACAGAGGAGCUUAAAUUUAUAUUUCCAGUGUCACACAAGGAGAAAGAAUGGAGUUGGCUGCUUUGUCCAAGUAAUGAAAAUCAAUGCUGUGUUGUUCUUGGAAGGAGCGCUCAAAAGGAAAGCCUGGCAUAUAGAUCUUGGUUUAGAGACAGAUUUUGCCUAGGAAGGCUGUGCCCAGGGGAAGAUACAGGAAGAAGGAGAAGAGGUGAUGCUACAUGCCAGUUUCCUGACCUCCAGAGUGGAACUGAAGCUUUGUAACAAGAUUUAUCUGGAAAGUGUGACUGACAGGAGCAGCUUACUCACCAUUAGAUAAGUAUUGGAGAUGACUCAUGCUGGAGUAUUGGUAGCUGUGCUGCUGAGAUGGAUAUCCUGUUUUAUAACUGCUAUAGUGUGAUGCCAAGAGCCAGGAACCUUAAUUUCACUAUCCAGGCUUUUCUGUGAAAGUGCUUUGGGUCUCUGGCACCUUUUCUCCUUGGUUUGUCCAUCUAAAGGGUUCACAAGGGGAGGUUUUGCUUCCCCCAGUGGGGUACAGGGUAUGGGGCAGCUCAUGGUACCUUGAAAUGAAAGCUAGUUGAAAGGCUGUAGCUUUAUAGCUCUUCUUCAGGACGUGCAAUAUUUGUCUUUUUCAUAGAUGUCAUUAGUGUCUUUCCUCGAUUCUUUGGGUUUUUUUGUUUUGUUUGUGUUUUUUCAGAGCCAUUAAACCCUUUCUUCAGCGGAACAAACCAGAAGGUGCAGAAACAGAUUUUCUAACUAUGGAAGCUCUCCUGAGGAGCCACAUUAUGUGCUGCUGCCCCUGGGAUGGGAUGCAGAGCAAGGAGUGAAGAAGAGCUGUGAUGUGCCACUGAAAGUUGCUUUUGUGACGAGAGGGGCUUUCUAGCAUUCAUGUGGUGCUGAAAGACAUUUUACUCUGAGCAGCAAAAAUCCUUAUCUUCUUUUUUUUUUUUUUUUUUUUUUCCAGGACAACAGAUGCUAUUUCCUGUUAGAGAUGCUUUAUAUGCAAAUCAAAGUGCUACAACAAGAAAAAAGUCCUGAAAGCAAUCACACUGAUAAACUCAGCCCACUGGGGAAUUCCUGCUUAUCAUUUAUCUUUUCUUUUUUCAGUUCUGUACAAGAUACUUCUUUGCCUGUGCUUUUUUACAGUCUUUAAUGUUUGUCCUGACAGACUUCUUGCUUAUGGACUACAGUGCUUGCAUUUUGCAGGGCUCUAUGUCAGUCUGCACAAACAAAAGGCAGUAAGUGCUGGAAAUUGGGGUUAACAGUCCCUGUGUUUCAGCUUGAUCUUGCAUUGAUCUGGUGCUUUCUGAAGUUCAAGCCAGACAUGAGCCUCACACUACAGAUUGCCAUGUGCCUGUUGUGAUGAUCUGCUUGGAAAGGUGAUCCCAGAAACCUCAGGAAUGAAAAAAAAAAGAGAGAUAAAAAACAAAAAGAAGCCAGCAAAAAAAUUACCUAGUAACUUAAACAGGAGCAGGAUUUGACCUGAGGCACCUCAAGAGAUGGUGUGGGCAGCACUGCACUAAUAAUGCAGUAGCACGAGUUGUUCACCUCAUUGCUCCAGCAGAGCAAACUCACAUGGAAUCACAGACUGGUUUGGGUGGGAAGGGACCUUAAAGAUCAUCUAAUUAAA
Molecule: long non-coding RNA, 1723 nt
Organism: Parus major (Great Tit)
Lineage: Eukaryota; Metazoa; Chordata; Aves; Passeriformes; Paridae
Exons: 3
Source: RefSeq, a predicted model, not a curated record